This 22-nucleotide transfer RNA is filed under the name Entamoeba moshkovskii. RNAcentral's name for it is "tRNA-Arg". Lineage: Eukaryota; Evosea; Mastigamoebida; Endamoebidae. The record is from RNAcentral.
GCCUUGUUAGCUCAGUCGGAAG